Molecule: transfer RNA, 68 nt
Filed under: Marmota monax (woodchuck)
Lineage: Eukaryota; Metazoa; Chordata; Mammalia; Rodentia; Sciuridae
Description: tRNA.Ala
Source: RNAcentral
GGAUUGUGGCUCAGUGGUAGAUCCCUCGCCUAGCGUGUGUGAGGCCCUGGAUUCGAUCCUCAGCACCA